RNAcentral lists this ribosomal RNA (470 nucleotides) under Microsporidia sp. RNAcentral describes it as "bacterial SSU rRNA". It matches the Rfam family "Microsporidia small subunit ribosomal RNA", at positions 200 to 696 of the family's 1311-position model. Lineage: Eukaryota; Fungi; Microsporidia. The record is from RNAcentral.
CUACCAAGACAGUGACGGUUGACGGGGAAUGAGGGUUCGAUACCGGAGAGGGAGCCUGAGAGACAGCUCCCACGUCCAAGGACGGCAGCAGGCGCGAAAAUUGCCCACUCUUUGCAGGAGGCAGUUACGAGACGUGAGAGAGAAUAUCUGGUAAAGAGGGAUAGGAGAAUUGGAGGGCAAGUUUGGUGCCAGCAGCCGCGGUAAUACCGACUCCAAGAGUGUGUGUGAGAGAUGCUGCAGUUAAAAAGUCCGUAGUCAUAGGAGAGGAAACAGAGACGGAGUCUCGUGUUUGCGUGGUUGAGGAGCCGGUGGGGAGCACAGUAUACCAGGGCGAGAGAUGAAAUGCCAAGACCCCUGGUGGACUGAGCGAGGCGAAAGCGGUGCUCUGGCAGGUGUUCGGUGAUCAAGGACGAAGGCUGGAGUAUCGAAAGUGAUUAGAUACCGCAGUAGUUCCAGCAGUAAAAGAUGCC